Eriocheir sinensis (Chinese mitten crab) is the source of this 681-nucleotide long non-coding RNA. RefSeq lists it as uncharacterized. Lineage: Eukaryota; Metazoa; Arthropoda; Malacostraca; Decapoda; Varunidae. The record is from RefSeq and is a predicted model, not a curated record. The transcript has 3 exons.
AUAAAGUGAACUCAGGUGCCCUUCAAAUUUAACUACAGUAAGCUCAGGUAAAAAUGUGAGCUCAGGUGCCCUUCAAAUUCAUUAAGGUGAGCUCAGGUGCCCUUCAAAUUCAAUAAGGUGAGCUCAGGUGCCCUUCAAAUUUAACUACAGUAAGCUCAGGUAAAAAUGUGAGCUUAGGUACCCUUCAAACUUAAUAAAGUGAGCUCAGGUGCCCUUCACAUUUAACUACAGUAAGCUCAGGUAAGAAUGUGAGCUCAGGUACCCUUCAAAUUUAACAAAGUGAGCUCAGAUGCCCUUCAAAUUUAACUACAGUAAGCUCCGGUAAAAAUGUGAGCUUAGGUGCCCUUCAAAUUCAAUAAGGAGAGCUCAGGUGCCCUUCAGAUUCAACAAAGUGAGCUCAGAUGCCCUUCACAUUUAACUACAGUAAGCUCCAGUAAAAAUGUGAGCUUAGGUACCCUUCAAAUUUAACAAAGUGAGCUCAGGUGCCCUUCAUAUUUAACUACAGUAAGCUCAGGUAAAAAGUGAGCUUAGGUGCCCUUCAAAUUCAAUAAGGAGAGCUCAGGUGCCCUUCACAUUUAAUUAAAGGUAAGCUCAGGUACCCAUCAGUUAAGUUCAGGCAUAGAGUAAGCUCAUGAAAGGUGUGAGAUUAGGUGAAAAUUGAGCUCAGGUACCCAUCAAAUU